This is an RNA transcript of Daphnia pulex (common water flea), 1434 nucleotides long. It is a transcript of the gene named transmembrane protein 234-like, with no coding region annotated. The record is from RefSeq and is a predicted model, not a curated record. The transcript has 5 exons. Lineage: Eukaryota; Metazoa; Arthropoda; Branchiopoda; Diplostraca; Daphniidae.
CUAAAUUAAUAUAUUCAGCAUCUUUGUAGCACCUGAAAAGAAAAAAAACGAGCAACUGGUUUUUCAAUCGAGUUCACGCUCGCAAUUUCCGCGUCAAUAAAAUCCGGUAUUUUCGCAUUCACACACUCACAGCAUGAAUCCAGAAGGGAUUCUUAGUCUGAUUUGCGUUGCUUUGUUAUGGGGUGUUACCAAUCCUCUGAUGGGCAAGGGCAGUUCGGGGAUCCAGAGGGUGAAACAUCCCAAUUUCCUGGUUCAGUUCGUAGCAGAACUCAAAUUCCUCUUGUUAAAUUGGAAAUUUGUCCUACCAUUCCUGGUCAACCAGUGCGGCUCCAUUCUCUUCUACUUCACGCUCAGCUCCACCGAACUCUCCAUUGCCGUUCCAUUGACCAACGGACUGACAUUCCUCUUCACCUCCGUAGCGGGUCAGUGUCUGGGAGAGCAUCCGACUUCAGCACGUAAUCUCUACGUUCUUUUUUGCAGUAUCUUGGAAUGGUUGUGUGUAUCCUCUUUCUCAUCUUUUCAGCCAAAGAAGAAGGAAUAAUCUUAGCUAAAUUUGUGUAACCAUCUUAGCGGUAAUAGUAGUAGCAAUUCGGUGGCCCGUUGGCGUAGAGUUGCGUGUGUCGGGAUACUUGAUCUUCCCAGCAUCUGUUACUUGGACACAAAAAAAUCUUAUAGAUGAGUUGAAAGCCAAAAGAGUUGAGAAAAGUAAUGACAGUAUUAAGGAAAAGCCAAUUCUAGUUAAAAUAAGGAAAAAAACGAACAGCGAAACAAUAAUAUUCAAACCGCGGCUUAUUUAAAAAAAAAUCCCUGGGUUUAAUAUUACCGAUAUUCUUUUCAUUUAUAUUUAGUUACUUACAAAAGAAAACGCUUGUUUUCUUUCUUUCUUGGAAAUCCGGUUGUGUGUGAACGGAUUGAAUUUUUCUCUACACAACUUUUCUCAGCUCUAUGAAUUUUGAUCCUUUUGGCGUGCGGGAAUGUUGUAAUGACUAAUUCUUGAAAUUAUUUUAUUUGUUUCUAUUUUAUCUUUUUUUUUUUCCUUAUUACAUUACCCCAGGCGCGUUUGUCGGAAUGGCUUGCGUCUUACUGGGUGUCGUGCUGUGCCUGACGGACAAGAUGUGAAGAAAAUCCCAUCAUCUGCUUUGGCCCCUCGUGUGUUUCAAAGAGGUCAACCAACGGAGCUCGAAUAAUCCUGGUCGGAAUGGCUGAGCUCUCGGGGGGUUGUCUCUUUAAAGAAAGAAAGAAAAAUUCCUAAAUUUUUUAUUUUACACAGCAUCAAUUGGGAGGUAAGAGGAGCCGUUUAGAAUGUAAAUCUUGUUGGGAGGGUGGUAAAGACGAUGAUAUAUAUCUUGAUAAGUUUUGUUAUUAUACGUGAAAAAAAGGGCUAUGUAUAUAAAAGGGAGGAAGACGCAUGUCAAAUAAAAGGUUGACGUUAAA